GCUGUGUUGUACCUAGUGUUGAUAAAUUAGAAAUUUUCCUGCUAAGAUCAGAUAUAAGGUAAGGAGUUCCCUCUCACUAUUCCUUUUCAGUAUCAUACUGGAAGAAUUAAGAUUUAUAGAUUGGGAAGGAAUAAAAAAAAUGUCUUUGUACAAAAAUGGCAUGAUUAUGCAGAAAAUCCAAAAUAAUCAACAACAAAAAUUCUCUGUUGCAAGAUAAAAAGUUAAUAUAUAAAAUUCGAUCACUUUAUGCCAACAAUGAACAAGUGGAAUUUGAAAUUAAAAACACAAUACCAUUUAUGUUCACACCUGAAAAUUGAAAUACUUUAUUAUAAAUCUAUCAAAAUAUGUGCAAAACUCUAUGGGGAAAACUAUAAAACUCUGAUGGUUGAAAUCAAAGAGAUAGUAGUAAAUGGGGAAAUAUCCCAUAUUUGUGCAUAGGAUGACUCAGUAUUAUCAGGAUGUGAGUUCUUUUCAGAUCCAUGCAUGCAUGUAAUAUAAUCCCAAUCAAAAUCCCAGCAAGUUAUUCUAUGGAUAUGGACAAAGUGAUUUUAAAGUUUAGAUGGAGAAGACCCAGAGUAGCCAGCACAGUAUUGAAAGAGAAGACGAAGUUGAGGGACUGCCACCACCUGACUUUACAACUUAGAGUGAAGCUACAGCAGUGUGUACUGGUUGGUGAAAGCAUAGACAAAGAAGUCAAUGUCUCAGAAUAGAGAACUCACAACUAACCCCCAUAGUCAGCUGAUCUCGGGCAGAAGAGCAAAGGAUAAGGUGAUGGAACAAAGACAGCCUUUUUAACAAGUGAUGCUGGAAAAGCUGGACAUCUACAUGCAAAAAUGGACCUAAACACAGACCUUUCAGCCUUCACAAAGAUUAACUCAAAAUGGAUCAUAGACCUACAUGCAUAACACGAAACCGUAAAAUUUUUAGAAGGUAACAUAGGAGAAAACCUAGAUGACCUUGGGUAUGGCAAACUUUUUAGAUGCAAAACCAAAGGCAUAAUCCAUGAAAGAAACUGAUAAGCUGGAUUUCAUUAAAAUUCAAAACUUUCGCUCUACAAAGACAAUGUCAAUAUUAUGAGAAGACAGGCCAUGGACAGAAAAUAUUUGCAAAAAACACAUCUGAUAAAGGACUUUUCCAGAAUAUACCCAAAAACUCUUAAACCUCAACAAAAAGAAAGCAAACAACCUAAUUAACAAGUGGGCCAAAGACCUUAACAGACUCCUCACCAAAGGAGACAUGCAGAUGGCAAAUAAGCAUAUGCAAAGAUGCUCCACAUCAUAGGCCAUCAGGGAAACAGAAAUUAAGCAACGAUGAGAUUCCACCACCCAGUUGUUAGAAUGGCCACCAUCCAGAGCGCUGACAACGCCAACUGCCAGAGAGAGUGUGAGGCGACAGGAACUGUCACCCAUUGCUGGCGGGAAAGGAAAACGGUACAGCCACUUUGAAAGACAGCUUGGUGGUUCCUUACCAAGCUCUUAACAGACGAUCCAGCACUCACGUUCUUUGAUAUUUUCCCAAAGGAGGGGGGAAACUUAUGUCCACACAAAAACUCUGCACAUGGAUGUGUAUAGGAGCUUCAUUCAAAACUGCCCAAACUUGGAAACAACCAAGACAUCCUUCAUGAGGAGAGUGGUUGAAUAAACUGUGGUUCAUCCGGACAGUGGACUAUUUAUUAUUCAGUGCUAAAAGGAAAUGAGCUAUCAAGCCAUGAAAAGACUUAACCUGCAUAUAACUAAGUGAACGAAGCCAUUGUGGGAAGCCUACACACAUACUGUAUGAUUCCAACUUUGUGACAUUCUGGAAAAGGCAAAACCAUGGAGAAUGAAAAAAAAAAAUCAGUGACUGUCAGGGCUUGGAGGAUGGGGGAGGAAUGAAUGAAUUGCAGGAGCAGAGAAGAUUUUUAGGGCAGUGGAAAUCUGUAUAUACUGUAAUGAUAGAUACGUGUCAUUACACACUUGUCGGAACACAUGGAAUUGCAACACCAAGAGUGAACCCUAAUGUAAACUGUGGACUUUGGGUGGUUAUGUCGUGUCAGUGUUGGUUCAUCAGUGUGACAGAUGCACUACUCUCAUGGGGGACAUUGAUAAUAGGGAGGCUGUGCAGGGAGGGGGGUUGGGAGUAUAGGAGAAAUCUCUGUAUCUUCCCUUCAAUUUUGCUGUGAAUCUAAAACUCUUCUAAAAAAUUGUCUUCAUAAAAAAAAAAAAUCAUUCUCUGUAACAUUUAUUUCCUAGUUCUAGUCAUCUUAGUUUUCCUAGAUAUGUAUAUAGUUCAGAGGUAAAUUUACAAAUUGCACUUUUUUUUCCUUUUCUAAUUAGGAAUUAAAAUAAAUGUAGAGAAUGCAAGAAACUAUAAAAGUAUAUAAAGUACCUGCCUUUGCCAAGUUUUGUCCCGAGUGGAGAGUUUAUGGUUGGUUGCGCUGCCUGCUAUAAAGAAAACAGGAAUAAAAAGAAGCUUUAAAUUCUACUUGCCAAAAAAACAAGGGCUUUUGGGGGGAAGGGGAGAGUUUAGAUUCCAAGUCUAAAAUGUUUUAAAGCUGGAAUUUUUUUUGUUUUUUAUUGUUCAGUAUUUCUCUUUGCUUGUAGCUGAAACCAAGUUAUAAUAUCAUCUUGUGAAUUAUUGCUACCAAAAAGUAUGUUUCUCUUGCACUUUCUAUGUCCAGACUGGACACUUUGAAGUUGUGGUGGCUGCAUUUCUCAGCCUCUGGCUGUGAGAGGAAAGUGACAGCACAUUCUGCCACCACUGGACCCAGGGACUGGAGGCUGUUUUCAUUGUUAGCAUCACAGUAGAUUCAACAGCAGGAACCACAGCAACACUAAAAGCUCAGAGAAGGGUGCAGGCUACCCAAAGCCAGAGGGAGGAGUGCUUGAUUGCCAGGAAUACAAAAGGCUGUAAUUCAGAAUUUCCUGUCCAUGUCUUUCCCAGAGCAUGUCCCCAGACCCAAGAGAGUUCUUUUGCACUUUCUUUUCUUACUCUUCAAAUUCACUCAGAGAGCUCAUUCAUUCAGCCGCUCUGACACCUGCUGUGUAGCAGGCCCUGUGCCAGGUGCCGGCAUGAAAUGCCCUCAGUUUAUUUGCCCUGUGGUGAUUCCAUUAGACGUGCAGGUGACCUCAGGACACUGUGGGAGGAGGGAGAGUUGAAAGGCAUAAUGAGUGGGAGAAGGAAGACAGUUCAGGUAGCAGGAAAUUUUGUGCAAGUGACUAAAACAAGAGAGGGUAGUCUUCCAGGUGACAGGAUAAAGUCUUUCUGGCAGGACUGGGGGUGGGGGAGGGGAGGUAGUGAGACCUGUGGUAGUUAGAAGGGCUUCAGAAACCCCUGUGCUUAACUGGAGGGUAAGGAACCAGGGAAAUAUGGUGAAAUAGUUCUUUUACAUCCUUUGCCAUUGUCGACUGGGAUAAGUUUUUUGCACAUUUGGAAGUAAACAUGAAAUAACUGCCAACAUCUAGAGGUGGCUUGGAAAAUGCUGAAAACACAGUUCAUCUAGGGAUGGUGAGUCAUGGUAAAUUCUGAGAAUUGGGACCUGUCUUCCCAGUUUCUUGCAGAUGAUUACCGGCUAACAGAUAUUUGUUUUCGUACCCUCUCCUGAAGGUCAACUCAAGUAAUCAAAAUCACAAAAGAAACAUUCUGUUAACAACAAAAUAUUUUAACAUCUCAUUCUGUUUGUCUGAGAACACAAGCUGGAACGCUUUGCUUAAACACGAAACUAGCAAAUGCUGCGAUGCCUUUAUGUGCCUUCAAGCUGACACGUUACGAGCGCUUAUGAAACCUUUAGCUUCUAAAGGAAAUCAAGCAACAGAAUAAUGAGUAUUGUCUUUUAUUGUCUGGCUAGGCUGCAAAAUUGGAAGAAAAGAUAUGCUCAACUUUUACACUGAGCAGAUGCCUUCACAUAAGUCACUAUAGCUAUGUUGCUAUUGGAGAGAAGUUACGGCCCCAAGCAUUAUUGGACUGAUGAUGCAUCCAAGGCCAGUUGGGACCACACUGGAGCAACGAACUAGUCAACCAAAAGCCAGACCUUGGAAAAGAAGAGUAGCUAUUGUAGCAUGUGUAAAUCAUUAACCAGAUUCUCCUGAACUGGUUCGGCAUUCCUGAGAAUAAGAUGAAUGUCAGGAAAAUCUGUGUUUUCUGGCCACGAGGGGCCUCCCAGCUCACAGUAGCCCUAUGGAAAAAACAACUCCAACAGCUGUCCGUGCGUUCCAGGAAGAUUGGAGUCAAGGGCCUUUAAUGAAUGUUAAAAACAAGAUAAUUAUGCCUAAGCUGAGACACAGUUACAAGCCUAGUCAAUGCACGUGCUCUCAAAAUUCUCCAGUGGUAUAUCAUCUAGGGCACAAUUAUUGAGGUGAUAGCUUUCUCCAGGAUAAUAAAGAAAAAAGAAAAUCCUUAUUCUCCAGUCUGAAAAAUAAUGCAGAAAUGUGUCUUGGAAGUUUAUAUGCACUGCUAAGUUAAACAAUCAAGCACAACAGAAAUUGAAGAAACAUUGUAAAUACUAUAAUUAAAAAAAAAAUGCAUGUGGGUAAGACAAGCAGGCAAUAAAAAAAUAAAUAACAAAAGAUGAUCUUUCAAACGUGCCGAUGAAGAAAUAGCCAUGCUUCCUCUUCUUGGCUGUCACACCUCUCUUUUGGUAGAAGAUUGACAGUGAAGAGUCAUGUAAGCAGCACACUUCCGGCUGUCCGAGCACCCCUUGAGUUUGAUGGGGUGGGACCAAUGUUUAUGGGCACAAAGAUUCAGAUUUCCCGUGAUUUCCCUGCCCGAGUGUCCCAGACUCCAGCGAGGCUCAACGGCAGCACAAGUUCUGGCUCACCUGUGCCCCCCGGGCUGGCUUUUCUAUCAUCUCCACCUGGCGAACUCUUGCUGUUUAAAACCCACCUGAAAUAUCCCUUUAAAUAAGCUGUGCCUUCUGGCCCUCCCAUAGGCCGCCCAUUGUGUUCUGGCCCCGACCCCACUUGGUGCUGAGGCGUCUGGAAGGCAGAGACAGAGUCUCUGUCCGCCGCUGCAGGUGGGGAAUAUUGUGUUCUGAGUAAAAAGACAGAGACGCCAGUUCAUCCUGGGCUUGAGAUGAGAAAAGCAAAUACGGGACCUGAGUGUGUUUGAGCAGCUGCCGGACUGCGAAUGAGGAUAUGUUUUUCGUGUCUGAACAGAGAACCAUAUCUGGACGUGUCUCUUUUUUUCUUUUCUGAAGGCUAAUUAGAACGCAUCACCGCUAACAAAGAGUGAAAGCUGGAGGAUUCUGACUUGGCAGACUGGCUGUGCCUCUGGACAGUACACCAGCACCUGCUGGUAGCUGUUGAGCCGCCUGCCCCUCUCACCCCCGCCCCCCGCUCUGGCCCCACAAACACCAGCUCCCAGGCUCCCCUUCCUUGCCUUAGGGGGGCUUUGCCCAAGCCAGGCCUGGUGGGAGAUGGGGGCGGGUGGGCCCUGGGAUGUUUCUCUCUUUCUCUUUGGGAGGCGACUCUGGCAAUGGCUGCAUCUUGUUCACCCUCCGCAUUCAUCCUCCCAGCUCCCACCAGACAGCCCAGCUGCUGUACCUUCUUCCCUGUUGCCCAGCUCCCAUAAUUGGGACCCCCUAAAGCUGCUGAUGGCAAGGUGCUUCCUGCCCUGGUUCGGCAGGUCUGGCUUCCACCAUGUUUGCUGCUGGACCUCAGCAUUAAAAUCUCUCAGCGUUUAACUGCCAGGUGUGGGCUCUGUUUUCCUAACCUGACCCUGACCCUUGUAAAUGGCCAGUUAUAUGUUUAGCACAAACCAUACACCCAUUGCAACCUUCUAGUGGAAAUUGUGUGUCCCUUUUGUUUUAUCAAGAGAAAGGUAAGAAGAAUUUGGAGAUUAGCAUGGAAUUUAACUCCUCGUAAAGACAGAUAUAGUUUUUAAUUUGGAAAACAAUAAGCAAUAUCUGUAAAAAUUGAUAACUUUAACAAGUUCAAUAAAAGUUGUUAGAAGGUUCCAGGGGAAGAAGUCAGGUCUUAGCGCUGUUUUUUUUCAGGUUUGUGAAACUGGAUUGUGUUUGAGACAAGCAGAGCUUUCCAGAUGGUAUUUAUAAGCUGUUUUUAUAGAAAUUUGCAACAUAUCAAUUUGUGUUUGGAGUUGACUAAUUAGCUUCUGAAUCUGUAAGUUUUUGUACAUGGGGUUAUUGGUAUUAAUCUAAUCCAGGUUUUGCUGGUGUGUUUGUUCAUUUCCAUACUUGUUGCUGUCUUCCCCCUUUUCUGUGAGAGACACUGGUUAUGUCUCAAGUCCGGUGGCAGAGUGGAGAGACGAGAAAGAGGUGGCUUCCAGCAGGUGAAGUGCAAUGUUCAUAAGUCUUUCCUUUGGUUCACCAUUGCUUUUUGUGGGUCUGGUAAAGCUAGAGUCCCAGACCUCUAAGAUCUGAAGUGAAAGGACAGGUGGGUUGCAGUAAAAUAUCAGAAAACAGCGAGAAUGGAAGGAUAGAAUCCUAGCCUUGCCCACAGAAAUGGUAAACCAAGUGAGUAUCUUUCUAAGAACCUAAAGACUACAGCUCGGUUGGACUUUGGAUUUUCUGUUGCGUAUUCAUAAAUGGAAAGCACCUCUUUAAUACCUUGUAGCAUUUAACAGGGUCACAUUAUAAAUAAAGCCAGGCACAUUUUUUUUAAGGACAUACUCAGGAUUUUUUUUGUUUCCAUUUUAAAAAUACUCUGCACAAUCACUGGGGCGGGGGAGGAAUUGGCCAACUACUGCCAUAGAUUUUAGCUCCAUAGCUAAUUAGAGUGUCCCAGAAUUGAGUACAUUGAUUCAAGUGAAAUGAGCCAGCCAGUGGGAGAUAGAACUGGUGAGGUGGAGGAAUUCAUUUAAAUUAACAAGACUUUAUUUGUUUGUUUUCUUUUCUUGUUAUUUUAUUUUAUUUUAUUUUAUUGUUGUUUUGUUUUGUUUUAUUUUAUUUUAUUUUUGUAGCUGAUUUACCUGUGAGCUGACAUUUAUGAAAGGUGGGCAGGCCUUUGAGAUCCUUUAUUACUUACAUAAGGAUCCUAAAUCACCUUCACUAGAAUUGACAGAUGGCUCCCAAGGGACAAGAAAGUUUCUCUGCUGCACCCACAGGGACUGUAUCCCAGGGGACAUAAGUAAUUUGCUGGUCAAACUGAACACCUGCUAGAACUAGAGUAAUGCCCCCUUGAGCAGUAGGCCGUGGGCCACCAUUGUCCCCUGGCCCUGACUGAGGUGUUACACUUCUGGGCCUUUGUGCGGAUCAGAUGGUAUCAUGCGCCUGAUGACUGGAUCUCAGGGCGGUGUCAGCUUUCUGAUCACACUGCAUGGACCCUAGCCCAAAAAAAUUUCUGGCACUGGCAUCCUUGAUUUUUAAAAUUUGAACAAUCGAGGGGAAAAAAAAAUAUAUGUAUACAUACACACACACAGAAAGGCAGAAUUUAUAGACAGUUACUCCAGAAGAAUCAUGCAGCUGCCUGUGAGAUGACAACUCUAUCUUAGCAACCUGAAAUAGCCAAUGUAGAAUUUUUCAAAAAUGUUCUUAUUGAUUCUGCUUUGUUUUGCUUUAUUGUUUGUGUUUUGAAUCCCGCCUGCAAGUAGCAGAAAGGGUUUGAAAAUGCUAACCCACUGAUUAGGGAGACAAGAAAUGGCCAGGUCGCUCUGCUGAUUAGUCUGUAGGAAAAGGUAUUAUUCCCAUUGGGACACAUGUCUCCAGGGUCACUCAAACUUCUGUACAUCUUAUGGGGAGGACUAAAUGCUCUUUUUUUUUUUUUUUUUUUUUUCUGGAUACUCUUUUCAAGGAAAUUGUGUAGUAAACGACCUGCAAAAUAAUGAUAGUAUCUCUCUCUGGAGUAGAAAGUGGACCUACUUAUUAUCCAGUAUAGUAAAGACACUGUCUCCCAUCAGGACAAACGGAAGGUUGGCUUGCAGAUCCUUGGAAAAGAUCUGGGUUCCCUGAGCUCGGGGUCCUCAGCUGUGAUGCAGAAAUGCUGUACCUGGGGCCUCUGCCGUGGUCUGGGCAGUUCAUCCCCUGGGAGCUGGGGGUGAAGAGAAACUGACAUAACCGUGAUACCCAGACUUCAUCCUGCCUGGGCUCUGAGUCAUACAGUUAUUUUAUCUCUGCGUUAGCAGUCUUGUAUCUUCUGCCAGCAUCUUUGACGUGGUGGCAAGCUAACCUUUUAACUUGUAAGCUGGGUGAAAUCUUGGACCUGCCACCGUUUUUGCGUCUCUGUCACUAGAGAAGAACCUCCUUUCAUAAAAUUGGUGGAGAAGGCACUGAAAUUCGUGGAUGAUAUGUGCAUAUUUAUUAUACAGAGUUGGUAAUUUGUAUUUUAAUUCUGUCACACCAUAUGAAUGCCUGGAGUUUUCCAAGUAUUUGUGACUUAUUAUAUCAUUCUCUAUAAAAACCCACCUCCCAUAAAAAGGAUUUUGGCUUUGGUCCGCUGAAUUUUAUCUGGUGUUAGAGCAGUUUGUGAUUUGUUAGCUGAAUGUCUACCAGUAGCUUUCUGCAAGCUAAGAAAAAAUAUAAAUACUAUCUAUUUAUCUGUAUAUGAAAUACCUUCUCAAUUGUCCAGCCAACUCAGCUAUUUUGGAGGAAUUACUUUCCUUAUGAGUGAGGGUUUUUUUCAUGUCUGCAAAAAAGCAGGCACCGCUAAGUCAACGUAUUUCAUAAGGGUCAGACAUGUCCUCCAGACAUCUUGUUUUGUAGUCAAGAAUUGCCUUAACUCUUUUUCAUAAUAAUGCCCUUGAACUGACCUUUGAAGGAUUUAUAUAUCAUUUCAAAAAAAAAAAAAAUGAGUGAAAAGGGUGACAUUCCAUGUCAAAAGGGAAAACAAACCAGCCAGUAUGAUCUCCAGGCUGCUUCCGGGAAGCCAUGCGGGACUCACAGACACACCUGAGUGCCCCCCACCCCGCCCCCACCCGCUGCACUGCACAGGCAGUCCACUGCAACAGGGCAGGUGGGGCUGAGGACUGCCAGCUGGUGGGCUGGCUGCUAUGUCACUUGCCCCAGGUAGGGUGGGUUCUGGCUAUCUAGCAGCUGUACCAUCUGGGGUUGAUAAGACACUUGUAUUUAAGAAUAGGGUGGGUUCCACACUCCUGGCUUGGGGACAUUUCUCUGUUCAGGGGUACACUCUAGAUUUUCAAAGAGUAGCACAUUUUUGGGUGUGGUGGGUGAGGUCUCCGAGAGAGUAAGCAGAGUGUACUCCUUUUACCGCUAAUGUUGGUGUAACUCCGUGGUUCUCAAAAGUGUGGUCCCCCGAGCAGUGGUAACAGCAUCACUUGGCAGUUUUUCAGAAAUGCACACCUUUGGCCCCAUGUGAGAACUACUGAUCUAGAAAAUCUGGGGUGUGUCCCAGCGAUGUAUAGUUUAACACCGUGCUGCCACCCGCCCCACCCCUGCCAGGUGAUUCUGGUGUGCCCUGGACUUUGAGACCCGUAAGUGUGGUUCACUGUGUCUCAAGUCAGAGGAGGAGGGGGUUAGUUUGGUUACAAGUAGGAAAAGAACAGAUUACGAGUGGUGGUGUCAAAUGUACAAAGAAACACCUGUAGCAUUUAUGAAACAAAUCUAUUGGGUUCUUUUUUAAUUUAAGAAAAUAUACCUAAUGCUGGUCCUGUGCCAGGCACUGUUAGGGUACAAAUAUGAAUGAGACAUUGCACAGACAUCUCAGAUUCUAUUAUCGAGUUGGACAAUCUAUGCCUGUGGGCAAAAUCCAAUUUGCCACAUGUUUUUAUAAAGUUGUAUUAGGCUACAGCCACAUCUAUUCAUUUGCAUAUUGUCCAUGGCUACUUUUAGACAAUAAUUCAGAGUUGAGCAGUGCCACAAAGACCGUAUAACCCACAAAGCUGAAAACAUUUAAUUGUGGUGCUUUAAUAAAAGUUUGCUGAUACCAGGUCUAGUAUUUAAAGGGCAAAUACUCCCUACAUCCAAGUAGUUUUACACAAAUGGAGUUGAGAUUAAGUGUACAUGCAGGGAUUCUUCUGUCAUGAAGUGUUGCAUUUGUAUAGAACUUUUUCAGUGGCAAAAAUAAUUAGCUUCAUGGAUGUUAUUAUCAUGGACGGUGUCGACUGUUUGACAAGAAGCAGAGUAUUUACCAGCCAAAUACCUUUAGUGUGAGGGGCAGAGGGAGUAUAGGAACAAACAGAAAUAAUGGAAGGAAAAAUUAAGAAAGGUGAAAAAGAAGGUUUUGUUUGAGAAGGGAGAGUAUUAUCAAUCAAAGGGUUGUGACAUGUGAAAACUAAGAUAAAGCAAUGUAUGUUACGAUAGGGCUCAGAAAUGAACUAGGAAAGAAAGAGGUGCAGGUUUAAAGCAUUCCUGGCUGCCUGGUGUGGGGAGUGGACAAACAAGUCCCCCAGGGAAUUCUGUCCCUUCUGAGAGGCAGGACAAGGGGCAGACUCUAAUAAAUCAGGCUGGGGAGAGCCACUCCUCUACUCCAAAGUUGGCGUUACCUGUUACCUUCACGCUGGUCAAUAGUUGGGAUCUCUGAAUUUCUUACUCUGCCCUAUAUUCUUGCUGCUAACGGACCAGCUGUGCAGUGAGCCCAGAGAGAAAGCCCCAAGUUUCCCUUUAAGAAGCCUGGGUUACUUCUGGCUUCACCUCUGGCUGAUGACUUUGGGCAGAUCGUUUAUUUCAUGGCUUGGGGUCUCCGCUUCCUCAUUUUCAAGGUGCUGUUUCAGAUUUCCAGCUGCACACACAUUAUUUUUCUGCCCGACUCCCUUAUCAUCGAGAGGUGAGCGAGGGGCACAGAGCGUUUCCCCAGCUCCUUAGCUGAGAAAAGAAAAGAGUAGCAGACACCUGGACCCUUCCGAAGAAGAGAUUUGGUGGAUAGUUUGGUUUCCUUAAAAAGAUUUGAUGUGGAUUUGUUUCUACCUCAUACCGAAUGAUAGGUCUCUCCUCCUCCUGAAGAGAUUCUUCACGGAAGAGUGGGAGAGUGGGAAAUGGCCAGCCUAAUGCCAUGUCUGUGAUCGUAUUUCUCAAUC
Molecule: non-coding RNA, 10902 nt
Organism: Sus scrofa (pig)
Lineage: Eukaryota; Metazoa; Chordata; Mammalia; Artiodactyla; Suidae
Source: RefSeq, a predicted model, not a curated record